CUACAUGAAGCUGGAAUCGCUAGUAAUCGCGGAUCAGAAUGCCGCGGUGAAUACGUUCCCGGGUCUUGUACACACCGCCCGUCACACCAUGGGAGUCGGAAAUGCCCGAAGUCUGUGACCCAACCAUUAAGGAGGGAGCACGCCGAAGGCAGGUCGGAUGACUGGGGUGAAGUCGUAACAAGGUACC
RNAcentral lists this ribosomal RNA (187 nucleotides) under uncultured bacterium. RNAcentral's name for it is "partial 16S ribosomal RNA". It matches the Rfam family "Bacterial small subunit ribosomal RNA", at positions 1316 to 1500 of the family's 1533-position model. The record is from RNAcentral.